UACGGAGGAGGCAAGCGUUAUCCGGAAUUACUGGGCGUAAAGCGCGCGUAGGCGGACCUGCAAGUCGGGGGUGAAAGCCCGAGGCUCAACCUCGGAACUGCCUUCGAUACUGCGGGUCUCGAGUCCGGGAGAGGUGAGUGGAAUUCCUAGUGUAGAGGUGAAAUUCGUAGAUAUUAGGAAGAACACCAGUGGCGAAGGCGGCUCACUGGCCCGGUACUGACGCUGAGGCGCGAAAGCGUGGGGAGCAAACAGG
This 253-nucleotide ribosomal RNA is filed under the name uncultured bacterium. RNAcentral's name for it is "partial 16S ribosomal RNA". It matches the Rfam family "Bacterial small subunit ribosomal RNA", at positions 524 to 776 of the family's 1533-position model. The record is from RNAcentral.